UACGUAGGGUCCAAGCAUUAUCCGGAUUGACUGGGUGUAAAGAGUUGCGUAGGUGGCAGGGUAAGUAGAUAGUGAAAUCUGGUGGCUCAACCAUUCAGACUAUUAUCUAAACUGCUCCGCUCGAGAGCGUUAGGGGUAGCUGGAAUUUCUAGUGUAGGAGUGAAAUCCGUAGAUAUUAGAAAGAACACCGAUAGCGUAGGCAGGCUACUGGGACGUUUCUGACACUAAGGCACGAAAGCGUGGGGAGCAA
This 250-nucleotide ribosomal RNA is filed under the name uncultured prokaryote. RNAcentral's name for it is "partial 16S ribosomal RNA". It matches the Rfam family "Bacterial small subunit ribosomal RNA", at positions 524 to 771 of the family's 1533-position model. The record is from RNAcentral.